RNAcentral lists this ribosomal RNA (544 nucleotides) under uncultured Ascomycota. Its description in RNAcentral is "SSU rRNA". It matches the Rfam family "Eukaryotic small subunit ribosomal RNA", at positions 548 to 1098 of the family's 1831-position model. Lineage: Eukaryota; Fungi; Ascomycota. The record is from RNAcentral.
UUGGAGGGCAAGUCUGGUGCCAGCAGCCGCGGUAAUUCCAGCUCCAAUAGCGUAUAUUAAAGUUGUUGUGGUUAAAAAGCUCGUAGUUGAACCUUGGGCCUGGCUGGCCGGUCCGCCUCACCGCGUGUACUGGUCCGGCCGGGCCUUUCCCUCUGUGGAACCCCAUGCCCUUCACUGGGUGUGGCGGGGAAACAGGACUUUUACUGUGAAAAAAUUAGAGUGCUCCAGGCAGGCCUAUGCUCGAAUACAUUAGCAUGGAAUAAUAGAAUAGGACGUGUGGUUCUAUUUUGUUGGUUUCUAGGACCGCCGUAAUGAUUAAUAGGGACAGUCGGGGGCAUCAGUAUUCAAUUGUCAGAGGUGAAAUUCUUGGAUUUAUUGAAGACUAACUACUGCGAAAGCAUUUGCCAAGGAUGUUUUCAUUAAUCAGGAACGAAAGUUAGGGGAUCGAAGACGAUCAGAUACCGUCGUAGUCUUAACCAUAAACUAUGCCGACUAGGGAUCGGACGGUGUUAUUUUUUGACCCGUUCGGCGCCUUACGGGAAAC